RNAcentral lists this ribosomal RNA (468 nucleotides) under uncultured bacterium. Its description in RNAcentral is "partial 16S ribosomal RNA". It matches the Rfam family "Bacterial small subunit ribosomal RNA", at positions 28 to 507 of the family's 1533-position model. The record is from RNAcentral.
GACGAACGCUGGCGGCGUGCUUAACACAUGCAAGUCGAACGGAAAGACCCUGCUUUUGUGGGGUGCUCGAGUGGCGAACGGGUGAGUAAUACGUGAGUAACCUGCCCUUGACUUUGGGAUAACUUCAGGAAACUGGGGCUAAUACCGGAUAGGAGCUCCUGCUGCAUGGUGGGGGUUGGAAAGUUUCGGCGGUUGGGGAUGGACUCGCGGCUUAUCAGCUUGUUGGUGGGGUAGUGGCUUACCAAGGCUUUGACGGGUAGCCGGCCUGAGAGGGUGACCGGCCACAUUGGGCCUGAGAUACGGCCCAGACUCCUACGGGAGGCAGCAGUGGGAAAUAUUGCACAAUGGGCGGAAGCCUGAUGCAGCAACGCCGCGUGCGGGAUGACGGCCUUCGGGUUGUAAACCGCUUUCGCCUGUGACGAAGCGUGAGUGACGGUAAUGGGUAAAGAAGCACCGGCUAACUACGUG